GAGUUUGAUCCUGGCUCAGGAUGAACGCUAGCGGCAGGCUUAACACAUGCAAGUCGAGGGGUAUAGGUUUUCGGACCUAGAGACCGGCGCACGGGUGCGUAACGCGUAUGCAAUCUGCCUUGUACUGGGGGAUAGCCCAGAGAAAUUUGGAUUAAUACCCCAUAGUAUAAUAGAAUCGCAUGGUUUUAUUAUUAAAGUUCCAACGGUACAAGAUGAGCAUGCGUCCUAUUAGCUAGUUGGUGUGGUAACGGCAUACCAAGGCGACGAUAGGUAGGGGUCCUGAGAGGGAGAUCCCCCACACUGGUACUGAGACACGGACCAGACUCCUACGGGAGGCAGCAGUGAGGAAUAUUGGUCAAUGGGCGCAAGCCUGAACCAGCCAUGCCGCGUGCAGGAAGACGGUCCUAUGGAUUGUAAACUGCUUUUGUACGGGAAGAAACACUCCUACGUGUAGGAGCUUGACGGUACCGUAAGAAUAAGGAUCGGCUAACUCCGUGCCAGCAGCCGCCGCAGUAAG
RNAcentral lists this ribosomal RNA (517 nucleotides) under uncultured Flavobacterium sp. RNAcentral describes it as "bacterial SSU rRNA". It matches the Rfam family "Bacterial small subunit ribosomal RNA", at positions 9 to 527 of the family's 1533-position model. Lineage: Bacteria; Pseudomonadati; Bacteroidota; Flavobacteriia; Flavobacteriales; Flavobacteriaceae. The record is from RNAcentral.